RNAcentral lists this ribosomal RNA (1133 nucleotides) under uncultured marine bacterium. RNAcentral describes it as "bacterial SSU rRNA". It matches the Rfam family "Bacterial small subunit ribosomal RNA", at positions 9 to 1165 of the family's 1533-position model. The record is from RNAcentral.
GAGUUUGAUCAUGGCUCAGGAUGAACGCUAGCGGCAGGCUUAACACAUGCAAGUCGAGGGGUAGCAGGGAGCUUGCUCCGCUGACGACCGGCGAACGGGUGCGUAACGCGUAUAGAAUCUACCUCUUACUAAGGGAUAGCCCAGAGAAAUUUGGAUUAAUAUCUUAUAGUAUACAGACCUGGCAUCAGGAUUGUAUUAAAGGUUACGGUAAGAGAUGACUAUGCGUCCUAUUAGCUAGAUGGUGUGGUAACGGCACACCAUGGCUACGAUAGGUAGGGGCCCUGAGAGGGGGAUCCCCCACACUGGUACUGAGACACGGACCAGACUCCUACGGGAGGCAGCAGUGAGGAAUAUUGGACAAUGGAGGCAACUCUGAUCCAGCCAUGCCGCGUGCAGGAAGACUGCCCUAUGGGUUGUAAACUGCUUUUAUACAGGAAGAAACACUCUCACGUGUGAGAGCUUGACGGUACUGUAAGAAUAAGGAUCGGCUAACUCCGUGCCAGCAGCCGCGGUAAUACGGAGGAUCCAAGCGUUAUCCGGAAUCAUUGGGUUUAAAGGGUCCGUAGGUGGAUGAUUAAGUCAGAGGUGAAAUCCUGCAGCUCAACUGUAGAAUUGCCUUUGAUACUGGUUGUCUUGAGUUAUUAUGAAGUAGUUAGAAUAUGUAGUGUAGCGGUGAAAUGCAUAGAUAUUACAUAGAAUACCAAUUGCGAAAGGCAGAUUACUAAUAAUAUACUGACACUGAUGGACGAAAGCGUGGGGAGCGAACAGGAUUAGAUACCCUGGUAGUCCACGCCGUAAACGAUGGUCACUAGCUGUUCGGACUUCGGUUUGAGUGCUAAGCGAAAGUGAUAAGUGACCCACCUGGGGAGUACGUUCGCAAGAAUGAAACUCAAAGGAAUUGACGGGGCCCGCACAAGCGGUGGAGCAUGGUGGUUUAUUCGAUGAUACGCGAGGACUUACCAGGCUACAUGUAGAUGACAGUUUAGAAAUAGACUUUCUCGACAUUACAGGUGCUGCAUGGAUGUCGUCAGCUCUGCCGUGAGGGUCAGGUUAGGUCUAUAACGAGUCCCACCCCUGUGCUAGUGCAAGCGAGCUAUGUCGGACUCUUACUAGAACGUCUCAGUUGCCAAUCG